UGAAAAGUCUGUAGAGAAGUAAGGGAAAAUCAAACCCCUUUCUACACAGGUUGGGAUUUGUCGCAAUGCUGUGUUUCUCUGUAUGGUAUUGCACUUGUCCCGGCCUGUUGAGUUUGGUGGGGAUUGUGACCAGAAGAUGUGAAAAUGACAAUAUUGCUGAAGAUGCCGAUUUCCACUGUAAAAAUGUUCACGAGCUGAUGGAGUGUAUGAACACAUUCUGUAAACUGUGAUUUCUAUUGCUUUCGUUGGUGUGUAAAACGGGAUUUUUUUAAUUGAAAUUUGUGUUUUUAAAUUGUGGUUUGUUUUUACUGAAUCAUUUCAUUUUCGUGUUUGCUCGCUGGAUUUAGUAAGAAGUUGUGUGUGGGGGCUUAGGUGAAGUUAAACUGCCUUUUGAACCUGGUAUGACUUCAGGUUUAUUUUACUCUAAAACCCAUUAACAUGAGUUAAGAAAAAUGUUACUUUCUUUGGAUCUCUGUUUAUUAAAGUGUGACAAUUCAGAUGGAGUGUUUUCUGAUAAGAUUAUUCCUAAUCCGUGAGUUCUUAACAGUUAACAGGUGGUGGCCACUCUGUUAAUGUGCACACCCUGUAAGAAAGAACUAUCCUUGGACUGUUCUUACCAUGUGACCCCCUCAAGGGAAAGAUGGCAAACUGAUGGUCAGUAGAGUGACAGGUACACAUGACACUCGAGUGCUGGGUCUGGAGAAGCUGCAGUUAGUAUUUAGGAUAACAGUAUAUAUAAUAUAUAGUUCUACAUUUGGGCAGCACAGUUGGUUUCAGGCUAUGAAUAAAAAUCAUUGGAGUGAAACCUAAAGAAAAGUAAAAUUAAUAAGGAAGAGCUGCUAAAAUCAGGUUUAAGCUGACACUAUCUACAGAGCUAAAGUUUUCCAUAAUAUGUUGCUUUUUUUAAAAGAAAUGCAAGAAGCUGACUGAUGGAUCCCUGAGCUGCCAGGUAAGGAUUCCACAGGCCUGGGUUUGAUUGUGAGUGACCAGAAUUGUACAAUUAUUACUAAAACAGAAACAUAGUCACUUCUGACUCCAUUCUUAACAUUUUUGGAUUAAAACUUGUUUCAGAUGACUAAUGAAAACUUCCUUUAAAACGUGAUAAAGCUCUAAUGUCAGCACGAUCCACAUGAUCCAUGUGCCUCCUAUAAAGGGAGGGGUCUGUCACCAGUGUUACGGAUUGAAUGCUACGUUUAUCUUCCAACAUAGGAAGCCUGCCAGGUACUUUCUUCAAUAUACUAAAUUAGAAGUUUAAAAUUAAUAAGGUCUUAAUUAGGACCUUUGGAUGCUGAGCUUGUGGUAGUAAUUGUGUUCAGAAUGUUUUGAACUUAAAUUGAGAUUUAAUUUUAGUAAGGAAUGUGUGUCUUAGAGGCCUAGUAGUGAAGAGGAGUUUUCCUAGGAUUUUCCUCUCUCCUCCCUUAAUUAAGCUGCUUUCUGCACUAAGGGCUUCACGCAGCAACGCACUUGUUCAGUUCCGCACAGGGGGCUUUGCUGACUGUCUGCUCUAAAACUCUGUUGGCAAAACAGCUGUGGUCUCUCUUAGACUUUGAUUUUGUAGUAACUAGGGCAUAUAGUUGCUAUAAGCUUUCAGGAAUGGGGGUGGGUUACUAAUGUCUUAUGUUAUAUGAAAGUAGUUAAAUUUAUCCUAUAUUAAGAAGGAAGCAUUAUUGAGACUAUAUACUGUUGAUUUUACUAAAAACUCUAAGAUGUCCAUUUUAACAGGCAAACCUAGCACAGAAAACCAGCUGGAUUUUCCCUGUGCAUGGUUUGAAGAGUCAGUCCUACAUAAUUGCUGACACAAUGCAACCUGCAACUGCCCGGAGAAAGAACAGUUCACUAAAAUUUGUUGUAUUUAUCAUCCAAUUCUGUUCUGUAACUGGUAACACUAGUUUGUCUGGCUUUAGAGAAUAGGUGAAUCUCUAAAACAGUAGAAACAGCUCAGUUGGGCAAGGGCCGUUCUAGUAGCAUGCCUGCUCCUUGGAGUUUUCCAGAUUAUUUUGUAUAGCCUAUUCCAGAUUCUUGUCUAAGAUUGCUUUGCUCUGUGCACUCAGAAUUGGUGUGCCUUUCUAUUUGUGUAAAUGAUAUAUAAUACAUUGCUAGUUGUCUAGGAUCUAUUCAGGAAGUGCGUGCUGUGAAUUUUAAAGUAUGGGAAGAUUGUUAACAAGGGUUUCAAUGUUUUGUUUUUUUUUUUCUGGUAAGCUAAAAUAGAACAUUGUGAGGUACCUGGUUUAUUGUGGUUACAGACUUGGAAUAAUGUUCAUUGUUUUGUGCUAAUAAAUUGUGUUAAAAUUUGGUGUACAUAUGAGCAUUUUUAAAUAAAGUUAUUUUGUAGCACUGAU
This 2339-nucleotide long non-coding RNA is filed under the name Mus musculus (house mouse). RNAcentral's name for it is "Mir17 host gene (Mir17hg)". The stretch from base 38 to 117 matches the Rfam family "mir-92 microRNA precursor family". Lineage: Eukaryota; Metazoa; Chordata; Mammalia; Rodentia; Muridae. The record is from RNAcentral.